Molecule: ribosomal RNA, 160 nt
Filed under: uncultured Nitrosospira sp.
Lineage: Bacteria; Pseudomonadati; Pseudomonadota; Betaproteobacteria; Nitrosomonadales; Nitrosomonadaceae
Also listed under: 1 other name
Description: partial 16S ribosomal RNA
Rfam family: Bacterial small subunit ribosomal RNA
Source: RNAcentral
UGGGGAAUUUUGGACAAUGGGGGAAACCCUGAUCCAGCCAUGCCGCGUGAGUGAAGAAGGCCUUCGGGUUGUAAAGCUCUUUCAGCCGGAACGAAAAGGUUACGGUUAAUACCCGUGACUAAUGACGGUACCGGAAGAAGAAGCACCGGCUAACUACGUG